This 187-nucleotide ribosomal RNA is filed under the name Extubocellulus spinifer. RNAcentral describes it as "partial Microsporidia small subunit ribosomal RNA". The record is from RNAcentral. Lineage: Eukaryota; Bacillariophyta; Thalassiosirophyceae; Cymatosirales; Cymatosiraceae.
GUACCGCCAGCAUCCGAUCUGGCGCCCCUGCGAUGCCUGCGAUCCUGCGAUUGCUCAGAAGAACCAGGCAGGCGCGCUUCGCGCGUUAGAGCUGCUACAGCUGUACAUGUAGAGAGCUCUCUACCAUACUAGUACUAGUACGAGUACCGGAAUCGGUACUGAUCUCCAGGUACAAUGUGUGGUCAGU